Molecule: ribosomal RNA, 233 nt
Filed under: uncultured bacterium
Lineage: Bacteria
Description: partial 16S ribosomal RNA
Rfam family: Bacterial small subunit ribosomal RNA
Source: RNAcentral
UCCACGCCGUAAACGAUGAGAACUAGCCGUUGGGGAUAUUUAAAUCUUUAGUGGCGUAGCUAACGCGUUAAGUUCUCCGCCUGGGGAGUACGGCCGCAAGGUUAAAACUCAAAGGAAUUGACGGGGGCCCGCACAAGCGGUGGAGCAUGUGGUUUAAUUCGAUGCAACGCGAAAAACCUUACCUACCCUUGACAUCCUCCUAAUCUGGAAGAAAUUUCGGAGUGCCUUCGGGA